CAAGAAAUUAAGAGUUUAUGGGGGAUACCUUGGCAUUCAAAAGCGAAGAAGGACGUGGUUACCGACGAUACGCUUCGGGGAGUUGGAAACAAGCUAAGAUCCGGAGGUUUCCGAAUGAGGAAACUUUAAAAACUACUUAUUGAAUAUAUAAAUAAGAAAGAGCAAACCUAGGGAACUGAAACAUCUUAGUACCUAGAGGAAAAGAAAGUAAUAACGAUUCUCUGAGUAGCGGCGAGCGAAACGGGAAAAGCCUAAACUUAAAUUUAAGGGUAGUGGGACUUUUAUCAAAGAUUAAAAAUGACAAUUAGAUGAAUAAGUUGGAAUACUUAACCAUAGA
Molecule: ribosomal RNA, 337 nt
Filed under: Licmophora paradoxa
Lineage: Eukaryota; Bacillariophyta; Fragilariophyceae; Licmophorales; Licmophoraceae
Description: partial Bacterial large subunit ribosomal RNA
Rfam family: Bacterial large subunit ribosomal RNA
Source: RNAcentral